AGAUUGAACGCUGGCGGCAUGCCUUACACAUGCAAGUCGAACGGCAGCGCGGGGCAACCUGGCGGCGAGUGGCGAACGGGUGAGUAAUAUAUCGGAACGUACCCUGGAGUGGGGGAUAACGUAGCGAAAGUUACGCUAAUACCGCAUACGAUCUAAGGAUGAAAGUGGGGGAUCCGCAAGGACCUCAUGCUCGGUGGAGCGGCCGAUUACUCUGAUUUAGCGUAGGUUGGCCGGGUAAAAGCCCACCGAAGGCAUCGAUCAGUAGCUGGUCUGAGAGGACGCCAGCCACGACCUGGAACUGAGACACGGUCCAGACUCCGUACGGAGGCAGCGAGUGGGAAUUUAGGACAAGUGGCGAAAAG
Molecule: ribosomal RNA, 362 nt
Filed under: uncultured soil bacterium
Lineage: Bacteria
Description: bacterial SSU rRNA
Rfam family: Bacterial small subunit ribosomal RNA
Source: RNAcentral